RNAcentral lists this non-coding RNA (29 nucleotides) under Mus musculus (house mouse). Lineage: Eukaryota; Metazoa; Chordata; Mammalia; Rodentia; Muridae. The record is from RNAcentral.
UGGACUUGUGGACUCUGGAGCCGACAUGA